UGAGCGGACAGAUGGGAGCUUGCUCCCUGAAGUCAGCGGCGGACGGGUGAGUAACACGUGGGCAACCUGCCUGUAAGACUGGGAUAACUCCGGGAAACCGGGGCUAAUACCGGAUAAUUCUUUUCCUCACAUGAGGAAAAGCUGAAAGAUGGUUUCGGCUAUCACUUACAGAUGGGCCCGCGGCGCAUUAGCUAGUUGGUGAGGUAACGGCUCACCAAGGCCACGAUGCGUAGCCGACCUGAGAGGGUGAUCGGCCACACUGGGACUGAGACACGGCCCAGACUCCUACGGGAGGCAGCAGUAGGGAAUCUUCCGCAAUGGACGAAAGUCUGACGGAGCAACGCCGCGUGAGUGAUGAAGGUUUUCGGAUCGUAAAACUCUGUUGUCAGGGAAGAACAAGUACCGGAGUAACUGCCGGUACCUUGACGGUACCUGACCAGAAAGCCACGGCUAACUACGUGCCAGCAGCCGCGGAAACGAGGG
RNAcentral lists this ribosomal RNA (483 nucleotides) under Bacillus sp. enrichment culture clone A3g. Its description in RNAcentral is "bacterial SSU rRNA". It matches the Rfam family "Bacterial small subunit ribosomal RNA", at positions 63 to 531 of the family's 1533-position model. Lineage: Bacteria; Bacillati; Bacillota; Bacilli; Caryophanales; Bacillaceae. The record is from RNAcentral.